GGGUUGUGAGGUUAAGCGACUAAGCGUACACGGUGGAUGCCCUGGCAGUCAGAGGCGAUGAAGGGCGUGCUAAUCUGCGAUAAGCGUCGGUAAGGUGAUAUGAACCGUUAUAACCGGCGAUACCCGAAUGGGGAAACCCAGUGUGAUUCGUCACACUAUCAUUAACUGAAUCCAUAGGUUAAUGAGGCGAACCGGGGGAACUGAAACAUCUAAGUACCCCGAGGAAAAGAAAUCAACCGAGAUUCCCCCAGUAGCGGCGAGCGAACGGGGAGGAGCCCAGAGCCUGAAUCAGCAUGUGUGUUAGUGGAAGCGUCUGGAAAGGCGCGCGAUACAGGGUGACAGCCCCGUACACAAAAGCGCAUAUGCUGUGAGCUCGAUGAGUAGGGCGGGACACGUGGUAUCCUGUCUGAAUAUGGGGGGACCAUCCUCCAAGGCUAAAUACUCCUGACUGACCGAUAGUGAACCAGUACCGUGAGGGAAAGGCGAAAAGAACCCCGGCGAGGGGAGUGAAAAAGAACCUGAAACCGUGUACGUACAAGCAGUGGGAGCACAGGUUUACCUGUGUGACUGCGUACCUUUUGUAUAAUGGGUCAGCGACUUAUAUUCUGUAGCAAGGUUAACCG
RNAcentral lists this ribosomal RNA (623 nucleotides) under Salmonella enterica subsp. enterica serovar Monschaui. Its description in RNAcentral is "partial 23S ribosomal RNA". It matches the Rfam family "Bacterial large subunit ribosomal RNA", at positions 1 to 652 of the family's 2925-position model. The record is from RNAcentral. Lineage: Bacteria; Pseudomonadati; Pseudomonadota; Gammaproteobacteria; Enterobacterales; Enterobacteriaceae.